GCAGGGAAGAGCAUGCGGUCAUGGCUACUGCUCCUCGAUUUAAGUUGAUUUGAAGGCACUUUCGUUUUAUUCCAUGGACAACAGUAAAUCUUGAAAACCAUUCUUGCCUUUGUUGUCUUUGGAGGGCGUUAUCUGACUGCAUAUUCAAGCAAGGCGUUUGAAAUAAAGGGCAGAACACCGUCUUAGAAUGAUAAGCUUCUGUCUUCAUAGUAUCUGAAUAGUUUUGAGCUUUAAAAGUUUUUGCAUUCCAUUUUAACUUUGUAGAUCAUAUAAAAAACUAAGAGGUACACAACUUUAAAAAAAACAUCACAUGAUGUAAAUAAGUUGUCACAGUUAUUCUUAAUAAUUUGCCUCAAAAUCAGAUAUGGACUGGCAGUGUGAACAAGGUCCUAAUAUGUGGAAAAACAAAUUUUUGACAAACAUGUCAAAUAGAAACUUAUAAUUCCAAGCCAGUGGAAUCCUCUCUUCUGUCACUCCUCUUAUAAUGAACAGAUGGAAACACGUUUACAUUGAGUUGAACUCACGCAUUGUCCAGAACGAUCUUGGGAGUCCAGAUUUUAUCAACAGGUAACACAACAGUUGGAAAUCUAUAUUUAUCAUGCAGCCAUCCAAGAUCAGAAUCUUUCCAUUGCUAUGGGGAGAAAGGAAAUAUGAUUAACCUAACAAAUCUUUAGUCAAAACUACUGAUUUCUUCUAUUACAGGUUUUUUUUUUCGAUUGCUAAACGACAGUGGGCACAACUGGAGUCACAUGUGCAAAACUCUAACUACAGUCUGCACAGCAGCAGUUCAUGUGGACCAAACUCUAGUUCGUUUUUCAUUGCUUGAACACAGUUUUCAAAACUCUACACACUUAUCCCAUGACUUUAAACACAACCUGCACAACACUGUGGAUUUACAGCACUUUGUAAAUCCACACAUUCAAAACAGAAAAGAUUUCAGCAUUGUGCCUUUCAAACACUGCUGAUUGCAAUUUCAUAUAAAUAUAAAUUCCAAUUUCAUAUAUAUUUCAUAAUAUUCCCUUUAUAUAUAUAUAGGUAGAGCUCAGAAAGACUAAUUUUGGAAAUGGAACAAGGAAGACAGGUUCGUGGAGGGAGAAGGGUGGCAUGUAGUGGCCUGAUGCUAGAGAGAAGCAGGAUUAGCCCCUCAAUUAUUUGUUUGAAUUACAGUAUGUACUUUUAGUUUCUACCUUUUUUUCUCAUUACUGUAAUUCCGUAAAUUACUCCAGACUACUGAAGCAAACUGCUAAUUUUCAUUUACCUUAAAGAAUUAUGAUGUUCUAAAAAAAUAAUAAAUCAUGUGAUAAAUCAAUAUAUAGAUAAAUCAUUCUUUGAAGAAAACAUUACUUUGUAUGAAUUCACUGAAAUUGUUAAAACAGUAAAGAUAAAAAGUUUGUAUUUUGUGUAUUGGUGUUUGAUGUUAGUGUUUUCCUCUCAGUGUGUUGUGAGUGACAGUGUGUGUUAUCUCAGUAAGGGUUGUGUUUAGUGUUUGGCUGCACUGAGCUGUUUUGAGUCAUGUGUUAAGAGUUGUGUUCAGGUGACUUUGGUAUUGCAGACUGUAGUUAGAGUUUUGCACAUGUAGCUCCAGUUGUGCUCACUGUCGUUUAGCAAUCGAAAAAAAACUGUAAUACCUUGUUCACACUGUCAGUCCAAAUCCGAUUCUGAUUCAUAUCCAAAUGGAAUCCAUACACAUUUAUAAAGUGUUAACGGCCAAAACUGCAUGAAAUCCAUUUUUUUCCAAUCCGUUUCAGGCUAGAUGGUGGUUUGAAAUCUGUUUCAAAUCGCAUUUCUGGAAAUCCAAUUCAGUCUGACCGCUCUAAUCGCAUUUGUGUAGGUUUUUGGUUACUGUACGUCAUGCCGUCAUGUCACGUAAACGCAAUUCAUAUUUUGGUUACAUCAUGGCUCUUCACAUGUUAUAAAUGUGAUUGGAUUCCAAUCGGAUAUGCCUCAAAAUCAGAUAUGGACUGACAGUGUGAACAAGGUCUUAAAGGCGGAGUCCAUGAUGUUUGAAAGCCAAUGUUGAUAUUUGAAAUCACCUAAACAAACACGCCCCUACCCCAAUAGAAUCUGGACCUUCUGUUGAUAGACCCGCCCCACACAUACGCAACCCGGCAUUUGAUUUGAUUUGAUUGGCUAUAAGUGUGUUUUGGUAGUCGGCCCGUCUCCUUUUCCAACGCGUUUUUCAAACAUCGUGGACUCCGCCUUUAAGUCUUUCAUCAAGUUCAUCACAUUCAGUCUUUUCUGUUGCAGCUUUAUGGAGCUGACAGUAACUUCUGGGAACUCUUGAGAGGCUUCAUGAUCCCCCAUAGCUUUAAAAAAAAAAACUCUGUAACUAAAGAGCUCUGGGUUGAGAAAGAUUGUGUGAUUUGUUCCUGACCCUGUCAAUCAAACACAGAUUCGGCAAAACAUGGCACCUUUUGAAACGUGUCGAAGCCUUAUUUAGCCAUAGUCACGUAAUGUGGGUACUUCGAAUCACACUUGACUUCCGAGUAGUGUUUCUAUACACUUCAGGAUCUCCACACAAGAGGUAUUUCUCAAUGUCAAGGAAGGAAGCCAGAAUUUAGAGGAUGCUACAUCGUCGACAUCCGUCAAAGGACUGUUCCAAUGUUGAGGAUCCUAGGAAUUUUAACCAAGGACUGAGUCCUUCGUUUGAAAAAUAAAGGAAAGGAUGCAUAUGUGUAUCCUAGUGCUCUUUGCUUUCUGAAAUCACCCACAAUCCUAUGCGCACAGCGCUGAAAGCACACCUUUUUACUGACGUAAUGACGCAAUGACAUGCACUUGCUAGCCUGUUCCAUUUACGUGUUCUCUGAAUGCUAAAGGGCGAUUUAUAGUCGUGCGUAGGUCCUACGGCGUAGCAGCGAUGGCGUAGGUUCCGCGUCGGUUUUCAUUUAUACUUGUGCGUCGCCGUCCGCGUCGACGUGCAAACACACGCGAAACCGCUGGUUGGCAGUAAUCACGCGUGUAACCACAGUAGCAGCAGAAGUCGUCACAGAAGAAGAAGCUAAGCAAGUAAACCCACAAACGAAGAAGAAACAGCAACUUGUUGUGUAUAAUUUGAGAAGACCAGCAAUGAUGGAAGUAAAUAAACAGCGACUUAUGUUUCAGUUUGAGUUAAAUCACUCCUCAACUUGGCUCGUCUUUGUUUUCACCGUCUCAAACGGAAAUACCUAUGACACAGUUUUUUUACCUGACGGGAGGGGUUCUGGUGGACCAAUCACAGCGCUUACGGUCCGCGUAGAGCCGACGCGCUGUUAGAAAAUUUGUGAGGUGCGCGUCAGGCUACGCAGAGCUACGCACAGGCUACGGAUAGCCUACGCCGUAGCUACGCCGUAGGACCUACGCACGACUAUAAAUCGCCCUUUAAGAGGAGCCUCGCCUAGCCUCUAAUGGAAGUGACUUGUAGGACCAGUCCGGCCAAGGAAGUAUCCUUGACGUUGAAAAACACCUACAGUCAGUUUCGCAUCAGCCAUACCUAGAUUUUUCUGCCUGCUUUUCGACCAUGACUUUUUGUAAUAAAAAUUAUAUGUUGACAGUGGCA
Long non-coding RNA from Misgurnus anguillicaudatus (oriental weatherfish), 3535 nucleotides. RefSeq lists it as uncharacterized. NCBI's taxonomy places the organism in Eukaryota, Metazoa, Chordata, Actinopteri, Cypriniformes, Cobitidae. The record is from RefSeq and is a predicted model, not a curated record.